CGAAAGCCUGACGGAGCAAUACCGCGUGAGGGAGGAAUGCCUUUGGGUUGUAAACCUCUUUUCUCAGGGAAGAAGAUCUGACGGUACCUGAGGAAUAAGUAUCGGCUAACUCCGUGCCAGCAGCCGCGGUAAUACGGAGGAUGCAAGCGUUAUCCGGAAUCAUUGGGCGUAAAGCGUCCGCAGGUGGUUUCCAAAGUCUGCUGUUAAAGACUGGAGCUCAACUCCGGAACGCCGGUGGAAACUUGGAAACUAGAGUUCGGUAGGGGUAGCAGGAAUUCCCAGUGUAGCGGUGAAAUGCGUAGAUAUUGGGAAGAACAUCGGUGGCGAAGGCGUGCUACUGGACCGCAACUGACACUCAGGGACGAAAGCUAGGGUAGCGAAAGGGAUUAGAUACCCCUGUAGUCCUAGCCGUAAACGAUG
This 420-nucleotide ribosomal RNA is filed under the name uncultured cyanobacterium. RNAcentral describes it as "bacterial SSU rRNA". It matches the Rfam family "Bacterial small subunit ribosomal RNA", at positions 376 to 811 of the family's 1533-position model. The record is from RNAcentral. Lineage: Bacteria; Bacillati; Cyanobacteriota.